CGGACUGCAGUCUGCAACUCGACUGCACGAAGUCGGAAUUGCUAGUAAUCGCGGAUCAGCAUGCCGCGGUGAAUACGUUCCCGGGUCUUGUACACACCGCCCGUCACACCAUGAGAGCCGGAAACACCCGAAGUCCGUAGCCUAACCGCAAGGGGGCGCGGCCGAAGGUGGGUUUGGUAAUUGGGUGAAGUCGUAACAAGGUACC
This 205-nucleotide ribosomal RNA is filed under the name uncultured bacterium. RNAcentral describes it as "partial 16S ribosomal RNA". It matches the Rfam family "Bacterial small subunit ribosomal RNA", at positions 1294 to 1500 of the family's 1533-position model. The record is from RNAcentral.